RNAcentral lists this ribosomal RNA (515 nucleotides) under uncultured bacterium. Its description in RNAcentral is "partial 16S ribosomal RNA". It matches the Rfam family "Bacterial small subunit ribosomal RNA", at positions 29 to 523 of the family's 1533-position model. The record is from RNAcentral.
AAUGAACGCUGGCGGCGUGCCUAAUACAUGCAAGUCGAGCGAAUGGAUUAAGAGCUUGCUCUUAUGAAGUUAGCGGCGGACGGGUGAGUAACACGUGGGUAACCUGCCCAUAAGACUGGGAUAACUCCGGGAAACCGGGGCUAAUACCGGAUAACAUUUUGAACCGCAUGGUUCGAAAUUGAAAGGAGGCUUCGGCUGUCACUUAUGGAUGGACCCGCGUCGCAUUAGCUAGUUGGUGAGGUAACGGCGCACCAAGGCAACGAUGCGUAGCCGACCUGAGAGGGUGAUCGGCCACACUGGGACUGAGACACGGCCCAGACUCCUACGGGAGGCAGCAGUAGGGAAUCUUCCGCAAUGGACGAAAGUCUGACGGAGCAACGCCGCGUGAGUGAUGAAGGCUUUCGGGUCGUAAAACUCUGUUGUUAGGGAAGAACAAGUGCUAGUUGAAUAAGCUGGCACCUUGACGGUACCUAACCAGAAAGCCACGGCUAACUACGUGCCAGCAGCCGCGGUAA